This 492-nucleotide ribosomal RNA is filed under the name uncultured bacterium. RNAcentral's name for it is "partial 16S ribosomal RNA". It matches the Rfam family "Bacterial small subunit ribosomal RNA", at positions 29 to 507 of the family's 1533-position model. The record is from RNAcentral.
AGUGAACGCUGGCGGUAGGCCUAACACAUGCAAGUCGAACGGCAGCACAGUAAGAGCUUGCUCUUACGGGUGGCGAGUGGCGGGCGGGUGAGGAAUACAUCGGAAUCUACUUUUUCGUGGGGGAUAACGUAGGGAAACUUACGCUAAUACCGCAUACGACCUACGGGUGAAAGCAGGGGAUCUUCGGACCUUGCGCGAUUGAAUGAGCCGAUGUCGGAUUAGCUAGUUGGCGGGGUAAAGGCCCACCAAGGCGACGAUCCGUAGCUGGUCUGAGAGGAUGAUCAGCCACACUGGAACUGAGACACGGUCCAGACUCCUACGGGAGGCAGCAGUGGGGAAUAUUGGACAAUGGGCGAAAGCCUGAUCCAGCCAUACCGCGUGGGUGAAGAAGGCCUUCGGGUUGUAAAGCCCUUUUGUUGGGAAAGAAAAGCAGCAGGUUAAUACCCCGCUGUUCUGACGGUACCCAAAGAAUAAGCACCGGCUAACUUCGUG